CCUUCGAUAGCUCAGUUGGCAGAGCGGUGGACUGUAGAAUGGCUGAAAAGCAAUGUAGAAAUCCAUAGGUCGCUGGUUCAAAUCCGGCUCGAAGGA
This 96-nucleotide transfer RNA is filed under the name Phlebotomus papatasi. RNAcentral's name for it is "tRNA tRNA-Tyr". It matches the Rfam family "tRNA". From Rfam's summary of the family: Transfer RNA (tRNA) molecules are approximately 80 nucleotides in length. Lineage: Eukaryota; Metazoa; Arthropoda; Insecta; Diptera; Psychodidae. The record is from RNAcentral.